RNAcentral lists this ribosomal RNA (266 nucleotides) under uncultured bacterium. RNAcentral's name for it is "partial 16S ribosomal RNA". It matches the Rfam family "Bacterial small subunit ribosomal RNA", at positions 1234 to 1500 of the family's 1533-position model. The record is from RNAcentral.
ACGGUACAACGAGUCGCAAGACCGCGAGGUUUAGCAAAUCUCUUAAAGCCGUUCUCAGUUCGGAUUGUAGGCUGCAACUCGCCUACAUGAAGUCGGAAUCGCUAGUAAUCGCGGAUCAGCAUGCCGCGGUGAAUACGUUCCCGGGCCUUGUACACACCGCCCGUCACACCAUGAGAGUUUGUAACACCCAAAGCCGGUGGGUAACCUUUUGGAGCCAGCCGUCUAAGGUGGGACAGAUGAUUGGGGUGAAGUCGUAACAAGGUAAC